This 548-nucleotide ribosomal RNA is filed under the name Burkholderia sp. JS2307. Its description in RNAcentral is "bacterial SSU rRNA". It matches the Rfam family "Bacterial small subunit ribosomal RNA", at positions 337 to 878 of the family's 1533-position model. The record is from RNAcentral. Lineage: Bacteria; Pseudomonadati; Pseudomonadota; Betaproteobacteria; Burkholderiales; Burkholderiaceae.
UCCUACGGGGGGCGGCAGUGGGGAAUUUUGGACAAUGGGCGAAAGCCUGAUCCAGCAAUGCCGCGUGUGUGAAGAAGGCCUUCGGGUUGUAAAGCACUUUUGUCCGGAAAGAAAUCCUUGGCUCUAAUACAGUCGGGGGAUGACGGUACCGGAAGAAUAAGCACCGGCUAACUACGUGCCAGCAGCCGCGGUAAUACGUAGGGUGCGAGCGUUAAUCGGAAUUACUGGGCGUAAAGCGUGCGCAGGCGGUUUGUUAAGACCGAUGUGAAAUCCCCGGGCUCAACCUGGGAACUGCAUUGGUGACUGGCAAGCUAGAGUAUGGCAGAGGGGGGUAGAAUUCCACGUGUAGCAGUGAAAUGCGUAGAGAUGUGGAGGAAUACCGAUGGCGAAGGCAGCCCCCUGGGCCAAUACUGACGCUCAUGCACGAAAGCGUGGGGAGCAAACAGGAUUAGAUACCCUGGUAGUCCACGCCCUAAACGAUGUCUUNNAGUUGUUGGGGAUUCAUUUCCUUAGUAACGUAGCUAACGCGUGAAGUGACCGNCCUGGGG